UGGCAUGCUGCAGUCCAUGGGGUCUCAAAGAGUUGGACACGACUGAGCAACUGAACAACAACCUGUUUGCUUACCAAGUGAAUGAGUGGAUAAAGAAACUGACACCCAGCAGAAUUGAGAGACAUGUCCAGGGUCAUUGCAUGAGUUAAAAUCAGAGCUGGAAAUAGAAAAAACAAUCUCAUUUGUAAUUUAGGGUUUUUUCCUUUAAACCCACACUGGUAUAAUAAACGGUAUAUAACAAAAUG
This is a long non-coding RNA of Odocoileus virginianus texanus, 245 nucleotides long. RefSeq lists it as uncharacterized. The record is from RefSeq and is a predicted model, not a curated record. NCBI's taxonomy places the organism in Eukaryota, Metazoa, Chordata, Mammalia, Artiodactyla, Cervidae.